ACAGUUGAGCCUUGAACAACGUGAGUGUUAGACGGGUUGACUGUGCAGUGGAAAAUCCAUGCAUAACUUUACAGUGGCCCUCUGUAUCCACAGUUCCACAUCCUCUGAUUCAUCCAA
Molecule: non-coding RNA, 117 nt
Organism: Vicugna pacos (alpaca)
Lineage: Eukaryota; Metazoa; Chordata; Mammalia; Artiodactyla; Camelidae
Source: RefSeq, a predicted model, not a curated record